GAUGAACGCUGGCGGCGUGCUUAACACAUGCAAGUCGAACGGUGAAGCCAAGCUUGCUUGGUGGAUCAGUGGCGAACGGGUGAGUAACACGUGAGCAACCUGCCCUGGACUCUGGGAUAAGCGCUGGAAACGGCGUCUAAUACUGGAUAUGAGCCUUCAUCGCAUGGUGGGGGCUGGAAGGAUUUUUUGGUCUGGGAUGGGCUCGCGGCCUAUCAGCUUGUUGGUGAGGUAAUGGCUCACCAAGGCGUCGACGGGUAGCCGGCCUGAGAGGGUGACCGGCCACACUGGGACUGAGACACGGCCCAGACUCCUACGGGAGGCAGCAGUGGGGAAUAUUGCACAAUGGGCGAAAGCCUGAUGCAGCAACGCCGCGUGAGGGAUGACGGCCUUCGGGUUGUAAACCUCUUUUAGCAGGGAAGAAGCGAAAGUGACGGUACCUGCAGAAAAAGCGCCGGCUAACUACGUGCCAGCCGCCGCGGUAA
This 482-nucleotide ribosomal RNA is filed under the name uncultured bacterium. RNAcentral's name for it is "partial 16S ribosomal RNA". It matches the Rfam family "Bacterial small subunit ribosomal RNA", at positions 28 to 523 of the family's 1533-position model. The record is from RNAcentral.